This 231-nucleotide long non-coding RNA is filed under the name Cyanistes caeruleus (blue tit). RNAcentral describes it as "lncRNA (ENSCCEG00000019725.1)". Lineage: Eukaryota; Metazoa; Chordata; Aves; Passeriformes; Paridae. The record is from RNAcentral.
ACUUUUUUACUCGCUUUGGAAAACGUGGAGAUGAAGUUAUAACUCGGAAGAUUGAGAUGCCACAUGUGCUGCUGGAGACAAUUCUCUUCCUUGCAGAUUCAGCCCAGCUGUGGAUGAGUGACCUGGAGUCUGCUUGCAGGUCAGUGUCCCAGUGCUGUAGAGAAAGCGACCCUGGAUUUUGCCUGUUGACCAAAUUUAUUGCCUUGGCUUGAUUUUACAAACCUGAGUUGU